Molecule: ribosomal RNA, 428 nt
Filed under: uncultured bacterium
Lineage: Bacteria
Description: bacterial SSU rRNA
Rfam family: Bacterial small subunit ribosomal RNA
Source: RNAcentral
UGGGGAAUAUUGGACAAUGGGCGAAAGCCUGAUCCAGCGACGCCGCGUGUCGGAAGGAGUCCUUCGGGAUGUAAACGACUUUUGGUGGAGACGAAUAAGCAGCUCAGGGAAUGGGGCUGUGAUGACGGUAUCCAUGGAAUAAGCCCCGGCUAACUACGUGCCAGCAGCCGCGGUAAGACGUAGGGGGCAAGCGUUACCCGGAAUUACUGGGCGUAAAGGGAGCGUAGGCGGGAGGUCAAGUCCGGUGUGAAAGACCCUGGCCCAACCAGGGAUGAGGGCUGGAAACUGACAAUCUUGAGUACAGCAGAGGAAGAGGGAAUUACCGGUGUAGGGGUGAAAUCCGUAGAGACCGGUAAGAAGGCCAGUGGCGAAGGCGCUUUUCUGGGCUGUUACUGACGCUGAGGCUCGAAAGCCAGGGGAGCAAACCG